RNAcentral lists this unclassified non-coding RNA (143 nucleotides) under uncultured Passalora. RNAcentral's name for it is "sequence contains ITS2". The record is from RNAcentral. Lineage: Eukaryota; Fungi; Ascomycota; Dothideomycetes; Mycosphaerellales; Mycosphaerellaceae.
CACCACUCAAGCCUAGCUUGGUAUUGGGCGUCGCGGUGUUCCCGCGCGCCUUAAAGUCUUCCGGCUGAGCUGUCCGUCUCUAAGCGUUGUGAUACAUAUUCGCUUCGGAGGGCGGGUGGCCGCGGCCGUUAAAUCUUUCACAA